UCGUCUUCUUUCUCUCCAUCUUCAUUCCCACAAUCAGGCAAUCAGCACACUCACCAGUGAAAUCCGAGCCUGCCUCCCCGCGCACGGCUCUUCCCGCCCAGCGCCGCCGCCGCCAUGCCCCUUGCCCUCUCCUUCCUCCACCUCCCGCCCAACACUGCCCCUUUCCAUUCCUUCCAAGUCCAUCGCACCCACCACUCGCACCUUCACCUCUCCCUCCGCACUCGGCGCGCCUCAGCGACGGUGGCAGCGGCCGAAGCAGAGAACCCGUCCGCAUCGGCGGACGUCGAGAUGGUCCGCGGGCGGGACGGCGUUUGGACGGCGCGGUCCCCAACUGUGGUGGUGCUGUGGGACCUCGACAACAAGCCCCCGCGCGGGCCGCCGUUCCCGGCCGCCACCGCCCUCAUCGGCGCUGCCUCCCUCCUCGGCCGCGUUGUCUCGGUCUCCGCCUUCGCCAACCGCCACGCCUUCUCCCAUCUCCCUGUCUGGGUAACCGCCGAGCGCCGCGACCGCCGCGCCCUCGACCGCGCCGAGCGCGCGGGGGUCGUCGCCCCUUCCGUGCCUUACUCCUGCGCCGUCUGCGGCCGCCGUUUCCCCACCCGCCCCGAUCUCACCCGCCACUUCCGCCAGCUUCACGAGCGCGAGCGCAACAAGAAGCUCUCCCGCCUCCGCUCCCUCAAGGGCAAGAAGCGGCAGAAGUUCCGCGAGCGGUUCAUCUCCGGCAACACCAAGUACGAGGACGCCGCGCGGGAGCUCCUCACCCCCAAGGUAGGCUAUGGGCUCGCCUCCGAGCUCCGACGCGCGGGCGUCCACGUCCGCACCGUCUCCGACAAGCCGCAGGCCGCGGACCACGCGCUCAAGCGUCAGGUGAAGCACUCCGUCGCCUGUGGUGUCGAUUGGGUGGUGCUCGUUUCUGACGACUCGGAUUUCACCGAUACUGUGCGGAAUGCUCGCGCUGCCGACCUGAGGACGGUCGUGGUGGGUGACGGUUGCCGCGCUCUUGGCAAGGUUGCUGACAUUUGGUUGCCAUGGGACCGAGUUGAGAAUGGGGAGGUUGAUGAGGAGAUGCUGAGGAGUUGCACAUUUGCAGAGUACCGGGAAGAUCAGGAAGAUGAGCGGGGUGAGCAGUUCAUAGGCGAUUGGGAUGCAAGUGCCUUUGAUGACGUUGUUGACGAUAUUGUUGGAAUGAGAACCAACUUGCUUGGAGCUACGACAAUAUCUGCCUUCGCUGAUGAGGACAUUACAGAUGGCAUAUUUGAUAGCAUGUUUUGGAGUAGUGAUGACGAGGAAGAGGAUGGUUACUUGUGAGGUUCAUGUGUGUUAACAGCACAUUUCCCACAGCCACAGGAUCCAGAUUCCAGAAUGAAAUUACACCAACCCAACCAAGCAACCAACACCAUAGUUCACAUGCUUGUAUUGUCUUCCUGCACAUCUCCUGAACUAACUUUUCAUACCGAGGCAUGAUUGUUUCAUGCUUUGCUCACUGCUAUUCUGCUUAAGGAAACAAUCAUUCCUAACGGCUAUUGAAGAAUAAUUCCUAACGGCUAUUUGAUGCUGACCAUCAAAUAAUUCCAUACAGAGCAUCAUUCCUGCUCUGUGCUCUCUAUUUCUCCAAGCAACUCUAGAAACAACUUAUCUUUCUGGCACUUGUAUUUAUUUGGCAAUUGAAUCCCAUGCUCUAUUCUAAUAGAUUGCUAGGAAGGGCUCAGUUAUUUCCUUCUGGCCAAAAAGGGUAUGGGAGUUUGGGGUACCUAACCAUUGAUUUACCUGUAUGUAAGUUUAUUUCUCACCACUAAACUUUUUGAUAGUUGAACACUUUUCUCUGUUUUAUUAUGGGAAAAGAUCAUGUGAUUUCAAGAAUCCGCGGUUGUGGUUCAUUAGAGCAGUGUUAGAAUGGAAACUAAGCAGACGAGACAGAGUUUUAUUUCUCAUUUGAUUUACAUCCAUAUCAAACACCAGUUUUGGGGCGAGUUCCUCAGCCAGAAGUACUAAUUUAAUUUUUGUUUGAGAACAUAGGCAGCAGGUUAGUCAUUGAGCUAAUUGAGACAGCUGCUUCUCUUUUGUGUUAACAUAUGGGGACAAAAAUAUGCCCUUUUGUAUGCAA
Sorghum bicolor (sorghum) is the source of this 2101-nucleotide RNA transcript. RefSeq lists it as uncharacterized. The record is from RefSeq and is a predicted model, not a curated record. The transcript is spliced from 3 exons. Lineage: Eukaryota; Viridiplantae; Streptophyta; Magnoliopsida; Poales; Poaceae.